AACGAACGCUGGCGGCGUGCCUAACACAUGCAAGUCGAACGAGAAAGGGGCUUCGGCUCCGAGUAAAGUGGCGCACGGGUGAGUAACACGUGGGUAACCUGCCUCUAAGAUUGGGAUAACCCGUCGAAAGAUGGGCUAAUACCGGAUAAGACCACAGUCCCUGCGGGGACAGAGGUCAAAGGUAGCCUCUAUUUAUAAGCUAUCACUUAGAGAUGGGCCUGCGCACCAUUAGCUAGUUGGUAGGGUAACGGCCUACCAAGGCAAAGAUGGUUAGCUGGUCUGAGAGGAUGAUCAGCCACACUGGAACUGAGACACGGUCCAGACUCCUACGGGAGGCAGCAGUGGGGAAUAUUGCGCAAUGGGCGAAAGCUUGACGCAGCAACGCCGCGUGAGUGAUGAAGGCCCUUGGGUCGUAAAGCUCUGUCGGAGGGAACGAAUGCUCUUGAGGUUAACAGCCUUAAGAGGUGACGGUACCCUCAAAGGAAGCACCGGCUAACUCUGUGCCAGCAGCCGCCGUAAUAC
Molecule: ribosomal RNA, 522 nt
Filed under: uncultured bacterium
Lineage: Bacteria
Description: bacterial SSU rRNA
Rfam family: Bacterial small subunit ribosomal RNA
Source: RNAcentral